GACGAACGCUGGCGGCGUGCUUAACACAUGCAAGUCGAACGGAGCGAAUGAAAGCUUGCUUUUAUGAGCUUAGUGGCAAACGGGUGAGUAACACGUAGACAACCUGCCGACAGGAUGGGGACAACAUUCCGAAAGGAAUGCUAAUACCGAAUGAAGCGGAGGAGAGGCAUCUCUCCUCCGUGAAAGAUGGCCUCUAUUUAUAAGCUAUCACCUGUCGAUGGGUCUGCGUCUGAUUAGCUAGUUGGUGAGGUAACGGCUCACCAAGGCGACGAUCAGUAGCCGGUCUGAGAGGAUGAACGGCCACAUUGGGACUGAGACACGGCCCAGACUCCUACGGGAGGCAGCAGUGGGGAAUCUUCCGCAAUGGGCGCAAGCCUGACGGAGCAACGCCGCGUGAGUGAAGAAGGUCUUCGGAUCGUAAAGCUCUGUUGAUGGGGACGAACGUGCGAAGGGUGAAUAAUCCUUUGCAAUGACGGUACCUAUCGAGGAAGCCACGGCUACUCUCC
Molecule: ribosomal RNA, 506 nt
Filed under: uncultured bacterium
Lineage: Bacteria
Description: bacterial SSU rRNA
Rfam family: Bacterial small subunit ribosomal RNA
Source: RNAcentral